UUUUCCACGGGCAGGGAACCUAGCACAAGCAACACAAACAGAAGAACAAACACCAGCAGGUAAUCCUUGUCGUAAGCUGGCGGUAUAGACAAAUUGUAAUUCUCAGCAUGGUAAAACCGACGGGCAGGGAACCUACCACAGGCAACAGAAACACCUACCGUGCAUGCCAUGCCACAGCCAAAGUAACUUGAACGAACGAUCAAUGGAGAUAUCAGAACGAAGCAUCACAUAUAUGGGCAGAUCUUGAUAGAAAAAUGUGAAUGGGGAAGACGGAGUUACACAAGAGUCUUACGAGUGCAGGCAUUCGAUCUUGAGGAUCUGCGUCGGCAUUGCCGUGUGCGCCCCAAGGCUCACUGGUGCCGCAACUUACGCCGGCCUCGCCUUCACCACUUUCAUCGAGUCAAAGACCAAACUACAAAUCACCUAAAAAAUGUCCUUCCAUCUCUACCUCCAUGGAGCUAUUGUCUUACGUAAUGCUCAUCAUUCAACCUGCAAAUAAAAGAACAGAGAUAAGCACUCACCGAAGUGGAUGAACAUAGAUGAUGCGACUUGAGACCAAUGGUUCUUGUAGAAAGGACCGUCCGGCGCUUCAGCAACAAUAUCCGAUCAGGAGCAAGCAGAACCGUAGCGAAUCUAUGUGAUGGAUAGAACGCACCUAGGUUGGUCCUGGAGCAGAGGAGGGCGUGGACGAGUUUAUUGUCGUGGCGGGGAGACUCCGCGCCGUCGAUGCCCCUGGAUCGUGUCGUGGUUCCGUCGCCUCACCUCACCUCGGUUGGGUCGCCGCCGCCAUCCUCAUGUAUAGCCUUGACCGGGGGAGAGGAAGAAAGGCCAGUGGAGAGGUCAAAUCUCGAGGGAGAGUGAGGUGCACCUUGCCGCCGAGGCCUACAUGCCUCGCCUGAAUUGAGGACUGUCAGUAAAGUGAACCUUCCCUGUUACUACGUGCCGGAAGUGCCCUGAAGGGUUGAUCUUACAUCCAACGGCUAAGGGAGGAAGAUACCGAUUCGGUGAGGAGGCAAUCAUCGUCCGCAGAUCCUGCAUCCAACGGCCCAGCUUAGCUCCCGCGUCGCUAUUACCUUUCCGACAAGACGCACUACCUUCAGUUGAAUUACUUUAAUUGCUUUAUACGAGUUGUCUUAUAAAUGCCUCUCCUUCCAGUCCAUUUAGGCAUGUAAUAGAUAUGUAGGUAAAACCCUAAGCCGUCUGUGGCGUGCUGUAGCUACUUUCCCCAUUUUAAGAGCAAUACAAUUUCUUUGUGAGCUGAUUUCGAUCUCUGAAUUUGGUUCAAAAGAGCAAUUCUUCUUCCGUCAGGUAGCUAGAUCCUGACAAUUGGUAUCAGAGACCAGUCGAUUUUCGGAUGAAGGUGACGCGGAGAGGAGAAGGAGCAGUGAGAGUCCUCUGCGAGAUCCAAAUCGAGCGGGGGUGUUGGCGGUGGUAGAUCGAAGAUCCAAGGUUCUCGAAUCAAAUCCCACUACCCACCCCUGUUUCUAGCAGCACCAUGACAGGGCAAGCAGCCUCGGUAGUGACAACCGAUCUGCAACUGGCGUAGUUGGAGUUGGAUAUUAAGACUCUGCAGAACAACGAAGAGGAAGAUUGGAAGAAAUUUCAUGAAUUUUCGUGCCAUGGUGAACAAAAUUUUUGUCACGAUGCAAAUCGAUUUUGACAAGAUUGUUUGAUACGAGAAAAAUCUACUUGUGUCCUCCAUGAGAGAAGAGAAGAAGUUUAAUUUCUCUCAUGCGUCGGGAAAAAUAAAUAAAUGAUGCGGGCGUGCCAGUGUACCGAAGUACACAAAGAAAACAAAGAGAUGGGGACUGUAUUUUAUUAAUCUCAAGGAUAACAAAUACAAUUUCCGAUAUGCGCUCCGUGGCCUACUAGCGUGGCCAGCCUCACUAGCGAUGUGCGGUCUCCUGGUUCCCGGGGCCUCGGAAGGCUCCCGGUUAAUUACUCCCGCGUGUUUCUCCGCAAGAAACCUCCGAUUAAGCCGUGUGGUCGUCUUUGUCGUCUUCGCUUCACAUUCUCCAUGCAUGAUGAUGAUGAUGUGUAUAUAUGUGUGUGGUGUGGGUGGCGGCUAAGCCCGUGUCCUCGUUGGUACACGUGUCGCUCAAAACAUGACUUUUUGAUAGCCACAUUCGACCUCGCCAUCGCGCCUCAUCGGUCUUGAUAGUGUUGAUGUUGGUGUUGGAGUAGCAUGGGUCCUGCUUGGUUCGAAUUUCUUGACGACUGGUAGCGGCUGCGUCGGGGUAUGCAAGGGGUUCGCCUUGCGGGAGUAUUGGUUGUGGAGACCGACGUCGGUGUAAAACCAACACACACUCGCAUCGGCAUAGCCUGUGUGGAUGGCAUCUCGUCUCGGCUAGACGCCGAGUUUACGGCAGUCCGCCAAGACAAGGACGCUGCCUCACGGGACCGUGAAUGGGUGACGUCAAGGAGGGGCGAGGUUGAUGCCUCGUCUCAGCUAGACGUCGUAUUCGGUAAUCUGCUAAGACAAGGAUCGCGUCGCCUGACGCCGUGACCCAUACGCCAUGAAGUGUGCACCUUGUCUCGACUAAACGCCGUAUUCAAUGGUCCGUCAAGACAAAGGAAAGACAUCCCAAUGAUGAAGAAAAUUUUAGUCGUGGAAGGGCAUGGUUGAUGCCUCGUCUCAGCUAGACGCCGUAUUCGGUAAUCUGCUAAGACAAGGAUCGCGCCGCCUGACGUCGUGACCCAUACGCCAUGAAGUGUGCACCUUGUCUCGACUGGACGCCGUAUUCGGUGGUCCGUCAAGACAAAGGAAAGACAUCCCAAUGAUGAAGAAAAUUUUAGUCGUGGAAGGGCAUGGUUGAUGCCUCGUCUCGACUGGACGCCGUAUUCGGUGGUCCGUCAAGACAAAGGAAAGACAUCCCAAUGAUGAAGAAAAUUUUAGUCGUGGAAGGGCAUGGUUGAUGCCUCGUCUCGACUGGACGCCGUAUUCGGUGGUCCGUCAAGACAAAGGAAAGACAUCCCAAUGAUGAAGAAAAUUUUAGUCGUGGAAGGGCAUGGUUGAUGCCUCGUCUCAGCUAGACGCCGUAUUCGGUGGUAUGCUAAGCCAAAGAAAAACACAUCCCAAUGUCGACGAAAGCUGUCGUCGUGGAAGGGUGUGGUUGAUGCCUCGUCUCAGCUAGACGUCGUAUUCGGUGGUCUGCUAAGACAAGGAUCACACUGCCUGCCUCCGUGACCUACACACCAUGAAGGGUGCACCUUGUCUUGACUGGACGCCGUAUUCGGUGGUCCGUCAAGACAAAGGAAUUGCAUCCCAAUGCCGAAGAAAGCCAUCGUCGUGGAAGGGGCGUGGUUGAUGCUUGGUCCCAGCUAGACCCCGUAUUUGUUGGUUCGUUAAGACAAGGAUCACACUGCCUACUGCCAUGACCUGUACACCAUGGACAUGUAAGCCACUAUAGUAGAGCACCGGUGAAGGCAUGAAGGAGCGGAGUAGAUUCCUUGUCCCAGCUAGACGCCGUAUUCGGUGGUCUGCUGAGACAAAGAUCACGCCGCCCAUAUGCCUAGGCCACCAUGGUCGAGCACCGGAGCGAGUGGCUGGACUACAUCGGCGUAGUCUUCAGGUUCAAUGAAAUCGUCUCCGACGGCGACGGUGGGAUCACACGAACGAUGUCUUCGAUGACGACUCCGUGUAACGUAUGCAUGCUGGAUGUGAGAGAGACAAAAGAAUUAGCCGAUCGUCUCACCUGUCGGAAACACGAGCUUGGUGUUCAUGACGGCGAGAUCCUUGCCGCCCUUGUAUGGAUGAAUUGAUGGAGGCGAUGCAAUGGCUGGAACGUGGGUAGAUGGAUGUGUGUGUUGAUGGAUCUGUCUCUCUGCUAGAUGGAUGAUGGUGCGUGCGUGGAUGCCAGGAUGGAUCUCUCUGCCUGGACGUGUGUGGUGGAUGGAUAUCGUGAACGAUGGAUGGCUUUGUGAUGGAUCCUCUCCUCUCUGCUACGUAGAUGGGUGAUGGAUGGCUGGUGCGUCGUGGUUGCGGCUGCUACGUGAUUUCUUCGUGCGUGUGCGUGGAUGGAUGGAUGGUUUGGCUUGUGCGGUGAUGUGGUGGAUGGAUGGAUGAAUUGGUGGAGACGCUGCAAAGGGCUGGAGCGUGGGUCGAUGUGUACGUGAUCGUUUCCCUGGC
RNAcentral lists this long non-coding RNA (4129 nucleotides) under Hordeum vulgare. Its description in RNAcentral is "long non-coding RNA (HVUL_LNC013384)". The record is from RNAcentral. Lineage: Eukaryota; Viridiplantae; Streptophyta; Magnoliopsida; Poales; Poaceae.